CAGCAAAAGUUAGCAUCGCUCCCUAGCAGUCAGUGAGGGCAACUGACCACCAACUGAACUGGCCGCUGCAGCGACGUCAUGGGCGAGAAGGGUCGGACAAAAUGCCACCGGUCAAUAUCGCCAACACGCCGGGCGGCAGUCAAUGUUCCAGUGGCGUCCAGUACUCCAGUGGCCGCUGGCUCCAUGCCCGGCAAUAAACGGAGAGCAUCCGCGUCGCUUCUUCAGACGUGUUUGAUACUAGAUGCUAAACUUUAGCAGUGUCACAUCAUAUGUUCAGAUGCUAAUUAGGAGGAUUAAAGAUGAGCUACUUAUAAAACUAAUUGCACC
Molecule: long non-coding RNA, 327 nt
Filed under: Setaria italica (foxtail millet)
Lineage: Eukaryota; Viridiplantae; Streptophyta; Magnoliopsida; Poales; Poaceae
Description: long non-coding RNA (SITA_LNC002101)
Source: RNAcentral